This 70-nucleotide transfer RNA is filed under the name bovine gut metagenome. It matches the Rfam family "tRNA". Rfam says of the family: Transfer RNA (tRNA) molecules are approximately 80 nucleotides in length. The record is from RNAcentral.
GCGGUGUAGCUCAGUUGGCUAGAGCACUCGGUUCAUACCCGAGUUGUCGUAGGUUCAAAUCCUAUCGCCG